RNAcentral lists this ribosomal RNA (480 nucleotides) under uncultured bacterium. RNAcentral describes it as "partial 16S ribosomal RNA". It matches the Rfam family "Bacterial small subunit ribosomal RNA", at positions 28 to 506 of the family's 1533-position model. The record is from RNAcentral.
GAUGAACGCUGGCGGCGUGCUUAACACAUGCAAGUCGAACGAAGCACUUUAUUUGAUUUCCUUCGGGACUGAUUAUUUUGUGACUGAGUGGCGGACGGGUGAGUAACGCGUGGGUAACCUGCCUUGUACAGGGGGAUAACAGUGGGAAACGGCUGCUAAUACCGCAUAAGCGCACAGCAUCGCAUGAGGCAGUGUGAAAAACUCCGGUGGUAUAAGAUGGACCCGCGUUGGAUUAGCUAGUUGGUGAGGUAACGGCCCACCAAGGCGACGAUCCAUAGCCGACCUGAGAGGGUGACCGGCAACAUUGGGACUGAGACACGGCCCAAACUCCUACGGGAGGCAGCAGUGGGGAAUAUUGCACAAUGGGCGAAAGCCUGAUGCAGCGACGCCGCGUGAGCGAAGAAGUAUUUCGGUAUGUAAAGCUCUAUCAGCAGGGAAGAUAAUGACGGUACCUGACUAAGAAGCACCGGCUAAAUACGU